RNAcentral lists this ribosomal RNA (253 nucleotides) under uncultured bacterium. RNAcentral describes it as "partial 16S ribosomal RNA". It matches the Rfam family "Bacterial small subunit ribosomal RNA", at positions 524 to 776 of the family's 1533-position model. The record is from RNAcentral.
UACGUAGGUGGCAAGCGUUAUCCGGAUUCACUGGGUUUAAAGGGUGCGUAGGCGGGCAGGUAAGUCCGUGGUGAAAUCUCUGAGCUUAACUCAGAAACUGCCAUGGAUACUAUUUGUCUUGAAUGUUGUGGAGGUAAGCGGAAUAUGUCAUGUAGCGGUGAAAUGCUUAGAUAUGACAUAGAACACCAAUUGCGAAGGCAGCUUACUACACAAAUAUUGACGCUGAGGCACGAAAGCGUGGGGAUCAAACAGG